GCCAGGCAUGGUGGUGCAUGCCUGUAAUCCCAGCAGCUCGGGAGGCUGAGGUAGGAGGAUCGCAAGUUCAAAGCCAACCUCAGCAAUUUAGCAAGGCAUUAAGCAACUCAGUGAGACCCUGCCUCUA
RNAcentral lists this small RNA (127 nucleotides) under Marmota monax (woodchuck). Lineage: Eukaryota; Metazoa; Chordata; Mammalia; Rodentia; Sciuridae. The record is from RNAcentral.